RNAcentral lists this ribosomal RNA (756 nucleotides) under Escherichia coli. RNAcentral describes it as "bacterial LSU rRNA". It matches the Rfam family "Bacterial large subunit ribosomal RNA", at positions 460 to 1215 of the family's 2925-position model. Lineage: Bacteria; Pseudomonadati; Pseudomonadota; Gammaproteobacteria; Enterobacterales; Enterobacteriaceae. The record is from RNAcentral.
CCAAGGCUAAAUACUCCUGACUGACCGAUAGUGAACCAGUACCGUGAGGGAAAGGCGAAAAGAACCCCGGCGAGGGGAGUGAAAAAGAACCUGAAACCGUGUACGUACAAGCAGUGGGAGCACAGAGCAAUCUGUGUGACUGCGUACCUUUUGUAUAAUGGGUCAGCGACUUAUAUUCUGUAGCAAGGUUAACCGAAUAGGGGAGCCGAAGGGAAACCGAGUCUUAACUGGGCGUUAAGUUGCAGGGUAUAGACCCGAAACCCGGUGAUCUAGCCAUGGGCAGGUUGAAGGUUGGGUAACACUAACUGGAGGACCGAACCGACUAAUGUUGAAAAAUUAGCGGAUGACUUGUGGCUGGGGGUGAAAGGCCAAUCAAACCGGGAGAUAGCUGGUUCUCCCCGAAAGCUAUUUAGGUAGCGCCUCGUGAAUUCAUCUCCGGGGGUAGAGCACUGUUUCGGCAAGGGGGUCAUCCCGACUUACCAACCCGAUGCAAACUGCGAAUACCGGAGAAUGUUAUCACGGGAGACACACGGCGGGUGCUAACGUCCGUCGUGAAGAGGGAAACAACCCAGACCGCCAGCUAAGGUCCCAAAGUCAUGGUUAAGUGGGAAACGAUGUGGGAAGGCCCAGACAGCCAGGAUGUUGGCUUAGAAGCAGCCAUCAUUUAAAGAAAGCGUAAUAGCUCACUGGUCGAGUCGGCCUGCGCGGAAGAUGUAACGGGGCUAAACCAUGCACCGAAGCUGCGGCAGCGACGCU